RNAcentral lists this ribosomal RNA (429 nucleotides) under uncultured archaeon. RNAcentral's name for it is "bacterial SSU rRNA". It matches the Rfam family "Archaeal small subunit ribosomal RNA", at positions 474 to 903 of the family's 1478-position model. The record is from RNAcentral.
UACCAGCUCUCCGAGUGGUGUGGAUGUUUAUUGGGCCUAAAGCAUCCGUAGCUGGCUGGGCAAGUCCCCUGUUAAACCCACCGAUUUAAUCGUUGGUGUGCGGGGGAUACUGUUCGGCUAGGGGACGGGAGAGGCCGACGGUAUUUUCGGGGUAGGGGUGAAAUCCUAUAAUCCCGGGAAGACCACCAGUGGCGAAGGCUGUCGGCUAGAACGCGCCCGACGGUGAGGGAUGAAAGCUGGGGGAGCGAACCGGAUUAGAUACCCGGGUAGUCCCAGCUGUAAACGAUGCAGGCUAGGUGUUUGGGCGGCCACGUGCCGCUCUAGUGCCGCAGAGAAGUCGUUAAGCCUGCCGCCUGGGGAGUACGGCCGCAAGGCUGAAACUUAAAGGAAUUGGCGGGGGAGCACCACAAGGGGUGAAGCUUGCGGUUU